This is a long non-coding RNA of Eriocheir sinensis (Chinese mitten crab), 645 nucleotides long. RefSeq lists it as uncharacterized. The transcript is spliced from 3 exons. The record is from RefSeq and is a predicted model, not a curated record. Lineage: Eukaryota; Metazoa; Arthropoda; Malacostraca; Decapoda; Varunidae.
AAAUACCCUUGACUUGCAUCCCUGUACUGUAAGAUUCAAAACAAUUCUAACCUAACCUUGGGAGUAGGAGUUAGGUAGCAUAUUAGCUUUGCAUACCAAUUUUGAGACACUGACUGUUCAUUUCUGAUAAAUAUAUGAUGCCUGCUAUUAUUUAUAAGGUUAUAGUUUCCAGAAACCCCUAAAUGACCGACUCUUCCAUGCCUGAGAUGACCCGCCCUGCCCUGCGUCAUGACCUCCCGGCAUACAUUGAAACCGUGCGCUGAAUGGGUGACUUUUCAAUGCUGGAGGUCCACUCCCUGACCCCUGCCCUGCCCAGCCGCGCAUGUCACGACCUGCCCCUGCGUCAGUUGAGCGGUGGCACUGCCCGACACUUCCUCAAGAAGGCUCUCCUGCCCCUGACUGGCUGGUGUGACAGUCUGCUGCUUCUUGGUGAGUGUAAGAUGUCCGGCUAAGGAAACGCAGGGCGUGUGUGCUCCCGUGUGGGAAGUGAGCUAUUUCCAGCCAGCUGGCAAGCCUGUCGGCGUAGGCCAUGUACAUGUGUCCUUCGUGCUGGAACAUGUCGGCCACCGUCUGCUGGAACGGGUACUCAGGGGGCGGCGUCAUCGCCAGUGUUUCUGCGGGCUGCGAUGGGGGGCGUGUUUCGCA